GACGAACGCUGGCGGCGUGCUUAACACAUGCAAGUCGAACGGUGAAGCGCCUUCCUUUUUGGUGGGUGUGGAUGAGUGGCGAACGGGUGAGUAACACGUGCGUAACCUGCCCCCUUCUUCUGGAUAACCGCAUGAAAGUGUGGCUAAUACGGGAUCUUCUGGGUCUGUCGCAUGAUGGGUCUGGGUAAGAUAUUGUUUCGGUGGGGGAUGGGCGCGCGGCGUAUCAGCUUGUUGGUGGGGUGAUGGCCUACCAAGGCGGUGACGGGUAGCCGGCCUGGGAGGGUGGACGGUCUGACUGGGACUGAGACACGGUCCAGACUGCGAUGCGGGGCAGCAGGGGGGGAGAGGGAACAGUGGGCGAAAGCCUGAUGCAGCGAGGCGGCGGGAGCGGUGGCGGCGCGCGGGGUGUGAACCUCUUUCGCUAGUGAAGCAGGCCUGCCUCGUUUGUGGGUGGGUUGACGGUAGUUGGAUAAGAAGCGCCGGCUAACUACGUG
Molecule: ribosomal RNA, 494 nt
Filed under: uncultured bacterium
Lineage: Bacteria
Description: partial 16S ribosomal RNA
Rfam family: Bacterial small subunit ribosomal RNA
Source: RNAcentral